RNAcentral lists this ribosomal RNA (253 nucleotides) under uncultured bacterium. Its description in RNAcentral is "partial 16S ribosomal RNA". It matches the Rfam family "Bacterial small subunit ribosomal RNA", at positions 524 to 776 of the family's 1533-position model. The record is from RNAcentral.
UACAUGGGGUGCAAACGUUGCUCGGAAUCAUUGGGCGUAAAGCGCGCGUAGGCGGUUACUUAAGUUGGAUGUGAAAGCCCUCGGCUUAACCGAGGAAGUGCAUCCAAAACUGAGUAGCUAGAGUACGAAAGAGGGUCGCGGAAUUCCCGGUGUAGAGGUGAAAUUCGUAGAUAUCGGGAGGAACACCGGUGGCGAAGGCGGCCCUCUGGACGGAUACUGACGCUGAGACGCGAAAGCGUGGGGAGCAAACAGG